UUCACUGCAAGCGCAUGUGGCGGCUUCUUGAACUGCACUCUCGGAUGUGUACCGAGCCUGAUGAUUGCAAGGUUCCUCUCUGUAGGCAAUUUAGAGUGAAGAUUCGGCAUCAAAGCAAGAAAGAUGACUCCAAGUGGAAAAUGUUGGUCAACAAAGUAAUUGCGGCUAAGAAUACAUUGGGACCAUUCUCAGCUCGGUGCUCAGGUUUAUUGUGAUAUCUUUGUUUCUUUAAAAACCAUGCUUGUCCACAAGCUUGAUUCAUCCCAAUUCAAAAAGAAUAAAUAAAUUACUGGGAACUUAUAGUUCUUUUUUAUAUUAUAAGUCUUUACAGUGACCUGUA
This is a long non-coding RNA of Eucalyptus grandis, 340 nucleotides long. RefSeq lists it as uncharacterized. The record is from RefSeq and is a predicted model, not a curated record. Lineage: Eukaryota; Viridiplantae; Streptophyta; Magnoliopsida; Myrtales; Myrtaceae. The transcript is spliced from 2 exons.